RNAcentral lists this ribosomal RNA (441 nucleotides) under uncultured bacterium. RNAcentral's name for it is "partial 16S ribosomal RNA". It matches the Rfam family "Bacterial small subunit ribosomal RNA", at positions 28 to 507 of the family's 1533-position model. The record is from RNAcentral.
GAUGAACGCUGGCGGCGUGCCUAAUACAUGCAAGUCGAACGGGGAGUAGCAAUACUCUUAGUGGCGAACGGGUGAGUAACGCGUUGGUACCUGCCCCGAAGCGGGGGAUAACGGACCGAAAGGUCCGCUAAUACCCCAUGUGCUCGGUAACGAGUAAAGGUGAAAACCACUUUGGGAGGGGCCUGCGUCCCAUCAGCUAGUUGGUAAGGUAACGGCUUACCAAGGCGAUGACGGGUAGGGGACCUGAGAGGGUGGCCCCCCACAAUGGAACUGAAACACGGACCAUACACCUACGGGUGGCAGCAGUAGGGAAUAUUGGUAAUGGGCGCAAGCCUGAACCAGCAACGCCGCGUGUGCGAUGACGGCCUUCGGGUUGUAAAGCACUUUUGACUGGGACGAGGAAGGACGGUACCGGUCGAAUCAGCCUCGGCUAACUACGUG